Molecule: long non-coding RNA, 1367 nt
Organism: Amphiprion ocellaris (clown anemonefish)
Lineage: Eukaryota; Metazoa; Chordata; Actinopteri; Pomacentridae
Exons: 3
Source: RefSeq, a predicted model, not a curated record
AACAAAAAGCAGUUCUGUGCAUAUGAAAAAAGAAAAUAGUGAAAAGGCUUGUGUCUUCCCCUGAACCGCCACUCUUUGUCCCAGUCUUAAAGUCUGACAUAUAGUAGUGCAGUGGGGGGGAAAUGCUCCAGGAGCGCGGCGGUACAACCCGGGGACUGGCGCUGGGACUGUCCGGCUCCUGGAGGUGUGAGCCGGGGACCUCCAGAGCCACACCGGGGAUUGAUGUCCCGCUGGGCAGCUGAGGAUCUGCGGCCCGGCCUGGGUUGGAAGUGUCCUUGGCUUCCAACCAACAACACCCACCAGCCAGCAGAGCAUCAUCUGUGAAGUUUACCUCUCAGUGCAAAAGGCUGAUAACCUGUAAUGAACGGGAGACCAGCGGAGGCAGAGUGCAGUAUGAAAGCUGAGAGCUUAUCAACACAUAUCCUGGUUUCACCUCUGUUUGUCACGACCAGCCCACAGAGCAGCAGUCAGCCAUGCACAGAAUUAUUCCUCCGCUAUCAGCACAUCCCAGACAACCUCCAGCUUGGCUUCGUUUCAGAAUUUCUUUCCAUAUUGUCGUAUUUUAAUCUUUUGCAGAACAUCAGUUGGUUAUACAUGCAUUUAAAUCACUGUAAGUGACCAGAGACUGUUAACAUUUACAUUUAUUUGCAUCCCACUUAACCCUCCUGUUGUCCUCAUUUACGGGCACCAAAAAGUAUUGUUUCAUUUUCUGAAAAAAUCCAAAAAGUCAGCAAAAAAAUUCCCCACAUUUCUGAAAAUUUGAAAAAACCUUCAGGAAGAAACCUCCAAUAUUUCCUUAAAAGUUAAAAAAAAUCCCCCAAAAUUGGCAAGAAAAUUCUUGAAAAUACUUUCAAGAAAUGAGUAAAAAUCUUCCAAAAAAAUUCCUAAAAACAUCUAAAAUGAUUCCAUAUUUAUCAGUAAAACUUCUAAUAUUUUCUUUAAGAACAUUCACAUAAAAAUCAACCAAAAUCCAGCGGAAUUUCCACCAAAAAAAUGUUCAAAGAUUUCCCAAAAAUGUUGAAAUUGUGGACAUCAGAAGUUUCACUGUGAGUUUUUUUUUUCCCCACAUUUUCAAACUUUAAAACGGGUCAAUUUUGGCCCGCAGGACGACACGAGGGUUAAUAAGGAAAUUUUUCAUUUACUUUGCUUCUUUUUCCAAUCUGUAGAUCUGAAUGUUCUGGAUGCGACCCUGAAUCUUUGUUUGCUGGACAAACAAACAAAGAGAGACAAUGAACAGCUCAUUAGCAGCAGCUCACUAAUAGUCUACUGACUGUCCGUAGAUGAUGGUCCAAUGUUUGACCUACUUCACGGUUCCGUACUGUGUAGCUAUUAUCAAAGCAUAAUGAAUCAUUUUGUUGGAGGUAAAA